This 886-nucleotide ribosomal RNA is filed under the name Tesserocranulus nevermanni. Its description in RNAcentral is "eukaryotic LSU rRNA". It matches the Rfam family "Eukaryotic large subunit ribosomal RNA", at positions 386 to 944 of the family's 3401-position model. The record is from RNAcentral. Lineage: Eukaryota; Metazoa; Arthropoda; Insecta; Coleoptera; Curculionidae.
GUUUAGGGGUAAACCUGAGAAACCCGAAAUGUCGAAAAGGGAAAUUCAUUCGUGCGAUAUGAUAGACGUAUAUUUUAAGUCGUGGACGUAAAAUAGGGAAAUGAAAAUUUUCUUAUUAACGACGCCAUCUUUCUAAAUACGAUUCUAUUAUGAACGCGUGCACUUUUCCCUUUGUAGGACGUCGCGAUCCGUUGAUAAAAAUCGUACGAUUUAUAGCGUAAAGUUAAGUCCAUUUAUGCGUUAUUAUAAUUUAUUAUUUUAACGAUUUAAUGAAUGGUGCUUUACGUAUUAAUCGACCUAGUCGACGGUAUGAUAAAUUUGGGUAUGAAGUCGCCUUAUACGGGCGUUGAAGUCGUAACAAAUGUUGCAUUAGUGAAACCGUAAUCGAAUAUUAAUCGAUUCGGUGCUUUUGUAAUAUUGUUAGUUGCGAACAUGAACUUUCAACAGACUUCUUAUUACCAAUCGGCGACGCUAUAGCUUUGGGUAAUUUCAGGACCCGUCUUGAAACACGGACCAAGGAGUCUAGCAUGUACGCGAGUUAUUGGGAUCGAUAAUCGAAAACCUAAAGGCGCAAUGAAAGUAAAUAUGGAUUCGAUAAUGAUUAUUUUUUAAUAAUGAUAACGAGUUUAUAUAGGGAAGAUGAAUUUAGUUAUUUAUAUUAAAUGACGUUUCGCAUUCCCGGGGCGUUUAGUUCGCGUAAAUUAUACGAAAGUGUAUUUUACGAGUUUAKGCGCACCAAGAGCGUACACGCUGGGACCCGAAAGAUGGUGAACUAUGCCUGGUCAGGACGAAGUCAGGGGAAACCCUGAUGGAGGUCCGUAGCGAUUCUGACGUGCAAAUCGAUCGUCGGAACUGGGUAUAGGGGCGAAAGACUAAUCGAACCAUC